AUUGAACGCUGGCGGCAGGCCUAACACAUGCAAGUCGAACGGUAACAGGAAGAAGCUUGCUUCUUUGCUGACGAGUGGCGGACGGGUGAGUAAUGUCUGGGAAACUGCCUGAUGGAGGGGGAUAACUACUGGAAACGGUAGCUAAUACCGCAUAACGUCGCAAGACCAAAGAGGGGGACCUUCUGGCCUCUUGCCAUCGGAUGUGCCCAGAUGGGAUUAGCUAGUAGGUGGGGUAACGGCUCACCUAGGCGACGAUCCCUAGCUGGUCUGAGAGGAUGACCAGCCACACUGGAACUGAGACACGGUCCAGACUCCUACGGGAGGCAGCAGUGGGGAAUAUUGCACAAUGGGCGCAAGCCUGAUGCAGCCAUGCCGCGUGUAUGAAGAAGGCCUUCGGGUUGUAAAGUACUUUCAGCGGGGAGGAAGGGAGUAAAGUUAAUACCUUUGCUCAUUGACGUUACCCGCAGAAGAAGCACCGGCUAACUCCGU
This 489-nucleotide ribosomal RNA is filed under the name uncultured bacterium. RNAcentral describes it as "partial 16S ribosomal RNA". It matches the Rfam family "Bacterial small subunit ribosomal RNA", at positions 30 to 506 of the family's 1533-position model. The record is from RNAcentral.